This 403-nucleotide ribosomal RNA is filed under the name Verrucomicrobiota bacterium. RNAcentral describes it as "Verrucomicrobia bacterium partial 16S ribosomal RNA". It matches the Rfam family "Bacterial small subunit ribosomal RNA", at positions 355 to 776 of the family's 1533-position model. Lineage: Bacteria; Pseudomonadati; Verrucomicrobiota. The record is from RNAcentral.
UGGGGAAUCUUGCACAAUGGGGGCAACCCUGAUGCAGCGACGCCGCGUGAGCGAUGAAGGUUUUCGAAUCGUAAAGCUCUGUCCUAUGGGAAGAUAAUGACGGUACCAUAGGAGGAAGCCCCGGCUAACUACGUGCCAGCAGCCGCGGUAAUACGUAGGGGGCGAGCGUUGUCCGGAAUUACUGGGCGUAAAUGGUUCGCAGGCGGCAUGGCAAGUCCGAUGUAAAAGGCGAAGGCUCAACCUUCGUAAGCAUCGGAAACUGUCAAGCUUGAGUGAAGGAGAGGCAAGUGGAAUUCCUAGUGUAGCGGUGGAAUGCGUAGAUAUUAGGAGGAAUACCGGUGGCGAAGGCGACUUGCUGGACUUCAACUGACGCUGAGGAACGAAAGCGUGGGUAGCAAACAGG